RNAcentral lists this unclassified non-coding RNA (884 nucleotides) under Hevea brasiliensis (rubber tree). The record is from RNAcentral. Lineage: Eukaryota; Viridiplantae; Streptophyta; Magnoliopsida; Malpighiales; Euphorbiaceae.
UUCUUCCCAAACCAUGUUCCUAUAAGAUAUUCCUCCUUGUCUUCUCCUGGAUAUGAAUAUUGAAAAAUAUAGCAGUCUCCACCAUAAAAUUUUGAAUGAUCUGAAGCGUCAAGGAGAACCUUGUCCUUGCCAUCCACACGCCAAACCUGCAGAUUUCCUGUGACAUCAAUAUACGGUUGAGGUUCUUCCUUUGCAGGAGCAGCUUUCAAAAGGCCCUUGACAUUUCCCCCCUGCCGUCUUAGAAGUGCUGCAACUUUGCCUCUACCAUCCUCAGACACAGCUACAUCAGUUGUCUCUGGCCAUGAUUCAAACUUUGACCGAAACAUCACUGUCUCGAAACCCUCGAUUACACGAAUAAUGUGGGACUUUGGUCGAUCAGCUCCACGGACUAACUCCUCUGCAGCUCCACUUGCAACCUUUCUUUCAUCAAGUGAGGUAUUUCUCCCCAUCCAUACAAACACUUCCAAUCCACAAUCUAGAAUAUAGCACUUGUAUGUGUCUAGUAAUUCCCUUGUCAAAGAAUCUGUAUCAACAGGUUCUGCCUGCCCCUUCUCAACCCAAAACAGCUUAGUCGGAGAAUCAGCUAUCUUAUCCUCAUCAGUUGUUGUUUUCCUAGGAAGUGGAGCAAAACCGCCAAAGAAACCCCAGAAUUCCCCAGUGUCAGCAUCAGCCAUCAAUUUCCCAUCCUCAAUGGCAGCUACGUCGCACUUUCCAUCAUGAUAAGUAUCCUUAAUGUACUGGACUACUUCUAAAGCUUUAGCUCUCUCUUGGAUAGAUGAGUUGGAACCAUUAAAUUGAAAAAUUUUUGACUUGGUAUCAAGAAUAAAAAUAUCAUCAUGGCUGAGUGAGGAUCGAGCAAAAGGAACCUCUUUUACAUGAACAAC